AACGAACGCUGGCGGCAUGCCUAACACAUGCAAGUCGAACGAGACCUUCGGGUCUAGUGGCGCACGGGUGCGUAACGCGUGGGAACCUGCCCUUAGGUUCGGAAUAACUCCCCGAAAGGGGUGCUAAUACCGGAUAAUGUCUUCGGACCAAAGAUUUAUCGCCUUUGGAUGGGCCCGCGUUGGAUUAGCUAGUUGGUAGGGUAAAAGCCUACCAAGGCGACGAUCCAUAGCUGGUCUGAGAGGAUGAUCAGCCACACUGGGACUGAGACACGGCCCAGACUCCUACGGGAAGCAGCAGUGGGGAAUAUUGGACAAUGGGCGAAAGCCUGAUACAGCAAUGCCGCGUGAGUGAUGAAGGCCUUAGGGUUGUAAAGCUCUUUUACCCGGGAUGAUAAUGACAGUACCGGGAGAAUAAGCUCCGGCUAACUCCGUG
Molecule: ribosomal RNA, 433 nt
Filed under: uncultured bacterium
Lineage: Bacteria
Description: partial 16S ribosomal RNA
Rfam family: Bacterial small subunit ribosomal RNA
Source: RNAcentral